Ribosomal RNA from Pteropus vampyrus (large flying fox), 119 nucleotides. The record is from Ensembl. NCBI's taxonomy places the organism in Eukaryota, Metazoa, Chordata, Mammalia, Chiroptera, Pteropodidae.
GUCUAUGGCCAAGCUAGCCUGAACAAGCCCAAUCCUGUCUGAUCUCGGAAGCUAAGCAGGGUCAGGCUUGGUUAGUAUUUGGAUGGGAGACCAUCCUGGAAGACCAGGUGUUGAAGGUG